GAGAAUCUUCCGCAAUGCACGAAAGUGUGACGGAGCGACGCCGCGUGAUGGAUUGAAGUACUUAGGUAUGUAAACAUCUUUUAUGAGUGAAGAAAUUUUUGACAUUAGCUCAUGAAUAAGGGGUUCCUAACCACGUGCCAGCAGGAGCGGUAAUACGUGGACCCCAAGCAUUAUCCGGAAUCACUGGGCGUAAAGGGUGCGUAGGCGGUAUUGUUAGUCUUUUGUGAAAGACCCGGGCUCAACCUGGGGAACGCAAAAGAAACGGCAAAACUAGAGUAUGUGAGGGGUGUGUAGAACUCUCGGUGUAGGGGUGAAAUCCGUUGAUAUCGAGGGGAAUACCAAAAGCGAAG
RNAcentral lists this ribosomal RNA (350 nucleotides) under uncultured bacterium. Its description in RNAcentral is "bacterial SSU rRNA". It matches the Rfam family "Bacterial small subunit ribosomal RNA", at positions 357 to 720 of the family's 1533-position model. The record is from RNAcentral.